GCAGCAGCACGUCCUGCAGGCCGAUGUUGGCCGACUCCGGCGGCAGGAACGAGUUCCACAUGAGCUGCUUCUGCAACUCCUCGCGAUCCUCAGAGUGCACCAAUUCAUACACAGAUUGAUGCACUAUAUCCGACUGGCAAGAAACGAAAGUGAGAGUGUGGUGUGUAGGAAAGUGCAUUGGGGCACGCUAUUAAAACACACACCUGAUGGAAUCCCAAGUAGCCUUCUAUGCUGUGCGUGGCGAAAAACACUUCGCCUUCGCAUGUUAAAAUCAUUAGGAACCCGUUUAAUGCCUGUAAUAUAACACCAGUUUAACUUUAACCGAGCGCAACAUGUAAACGAAACACACGAGAGGAACAUUUCGCCGUCUAAUGGAGUGUGAUCGAAUGCAGUCAGUUCGCGCCCUCGAUGCAACGUACCGCUGUCUUCUUUAUCUUUGUGCAUUACAACUGCAAACACAAAACAACCCCCACAUUACUACGCAUAACCUAAAAUAUGUAUAUUGGGUUGCCUAUGUUAACCAGCACAACAUGAGUAUAAGUAAGUGUAUUUUCUGCACUGCGAGAAAACAGAAUGUUAGUCGAAGCACUGCGUGUAACAAUGUGCAAUUACCGACUAAUUAACGUUAUCGGCAUGCUGAUAUGCUCUAGUGAGACCGUCCGGCGACCGUGAAAAAAGUCUAGAGAUGCACCUCGGAUAUAGAUGCGCUUUUAAACGGGAAUCCGGUGCGCGCCGCUUUUUUGCUCUCUUUACGCCGAUGCGUGCGUUUACAAGUCCAUCAAAUAUGAAUUAAUAAACACCAGAGCACUCGCAGUGCAGUUUACGAUUAGAUAUGUGUGUUGCUGGUUGCUGAUAUACACACUCUAAUGAUUAAUUAAAAUAUUAAUUAUCGCCGUAAUAAAAAUCAACGGUUAGUGCAUUGGCAAUUUGAAUAAUUUACGGUUACAUUGAUUGCAGUAAACGUGUUGGAACAAAUUAGUAUACUGAAGCUUUGAAGACAAGAAAAACAUCUUUUGAGCGCUGGUAAAACAAGCCUCGCGGUGAAUACGAAUGGAUUUGUUAACAAAUAGCGGCUACCAGUAACAAGACGUUUGCGCCCCGCGAGGGGCGACCGCGAUAAAUUAUAUCGAUGAAUACACAACGCAACAAUAAUUUUUUGUAUUCAAAAAGCAUCAGAACCUUUUCAACGCGUGAGUUUUUAUUCUUUUACU
Molecule: long non-coding RNA, 1211 nt
Organism: Dalotia coriaria
Lineage: Eukaryota; Metazoa; Arthropoda; Insecta; Coleoptera; Staphylinidae
Exons: 4
Source: RefSeq, a predicted model, not a curated record